UGGGGAAUCUUGCGCAAUGGGCGAAAGCCUGACGCAGCCAUGCCGCGUGAGUGACGAAGGUCUUCGGAUUGUAAAACUCUUUUGGCGGGGACGAUAAUGACGGUACCCGCAGAAUAAGCCCCGGCUAACUUCGUGCCAGCAGCCGCGGUAAUACGAAGGGGGCUAGCGUUGUUCGGAAUCACUGGGCGUAAAGCGCACGUAGGCGGAUGUGCCAGUCAGGGGUGAAAUCCCGGAGCUCAACUCCGGAACUGCCUCUGAUACUGCACGUCUUGAGUUCGAGAGAGGUGGGUGGAAUUCCUAGUGUAGAGGUGAAAUUCGUAGAUAUUAGGAAGAACACCGGUGGCGAAGGCGGCCCACUGGAUCGGUACUGACGCUGAGGUGCGAAAGCGUGGGGAGCAAACAGGAUUAGAUACCCGCGUAGUCCCUGAGCGGGCUGGCAAGGCGCAU
This 447-nucleotide ribosomal RNA is filed under the name uncultured bacterium. RNAcentral's name for it is "bacterial SSU rRNA". It matches the Rfam family "Bacterial small subunit ribosomal RNA", at positions 355 to 825 of the family's 1533-position model. The record is from RNAcentral.